AUUGAACGCUGGCGGCAGGCCUAACACAUGCAAGUCGAACGAGUGGCGGACGGGUGAGUAAUGUAUGGGAAACUGCCCGAUGGAGGGGGAUAACUACUGGAAACGGUAGCUAAUACCGCAUACCAUCGGAUGUGCACAGAGGGGAUUAGGUAGUAGGUGGGGUAACGGCUAAACUAGGAGACGAUCCCUAGCUGGUCUGAGAGGAUGACCAGCCACACGGGAACUGAGCCACGGGCCAGACUCCUACGGGAGGCAGCAGUGGGGAAUAUUGGACAAUGGGCGAAAGCCUGAUGCAGCCAUGCCGCGUGUAUGAAGAAGGCUUUCGGUUUGUAAAGUACUUUCAUCGAGGAUGCGUUACUCAAAGAGGAAGCACCGGCUAACUCCGUGCCAGCCGCCGCGGUAAUAC
RNAcentral lists this ribosomal RNA (406 nucleotides) under uncultured bacterium. RNAcentral describes it as "partial 16S ribosomal RNA". It matches the Rfam family "Bacterial small subunit ribosomal RNA", at positions 30 to 526 of the family's 1533-position model. The record is from RNAcentral.